This 797-nucleotide ribosomal RNA is filed under the name Shewanella gaetbuli. RNAcentral's name for it is "bacterial SSU rRNA". It matches the Rfam family "Bacterial small subunit ribosomal RNA", at positions 74 to 861 of the family's 1533-position model. Lineage: Bacteria; Pseudomonadati; Pseudomonadota; Gammaproteobacteria; Alteromonadales; Shewanellaceae. The record is from RNAcentral.
GUAAGCUUGCUUACUUUGCUGACGAGCGGCGGACGGGUGAGUAAUGCCUAGGGAUCUGCCCAGUCGAGGGGGAUAACAGUUGGAAACGACUGCUAAUACCGCAUACGCCCUACGGGGGAAAGGAGGGGACCUUCGGGCCUUUCGCGAUUGGAUGAACCUAGGUGGGAUUAGCUAGUUGGUGAGGUAAUGGCUCACCAAGGCGACGAUCCCUAGCUGUUCUGAGAGGAUGAUCAGCCACACUGGGACUGAGACACGGCCCAGACUCCUACGGGAGGCAGCAGUGGGGAAUAUUGCACAAUGGGGGAAACCCUGAUGCAGCCAUGCCGCGUGUGUGAAGAAGGCCUUCGGGUUGUAAAGCACUUUCAGUAAGGAGGAAAGGUUAACGAUUAAUACUCGUUAGCUGUGACGUUACUUACAGAAGAAGGACCGGCUAACUCCGUGCCAGCAGCCGCGGUAAUACGGAGGGUCCGAGCGUUAAUCGGAAUUACUGGGCGUAAAGCGUGCGCAGGCGGUUUGUUAAGCCAGAUGUGAAAUCCCCGGGCUCAACCUGGGAAUUGCAUUUGGAACUGGCGAACUAGAGUCUUGUAGAGGGGGGUAGAAUUCCAGGUGUAGCGGUGAAAUGCGUAGAGAUCUGGAGGAAUACCGGUGGCGAAGGCGGCCCCCUGGACAAAGACUGACGCUCAUGCACGAAAGCGUGGGGGAGCAAACAGGAUUAGAUACCCUGGUAGUCCACGCCGUAAACGAUGUCUACUCCGGAGUUUGGUGCCUUGAGCACUGGGCUCUCAAGCUAACGCAUU